Molecule: ribosomal RNA, 171 nt
Filed under: uncultured bacterium
Lineage: Bacteria
Description: partial 16S ribosomal RNA
Rfam family: Bacterial small subunit ribosomal RNA
Source: RNAcentral
UUGCUAGUAAUGGCAGGUCAGCAUACUGCCGUGAAUACGUUCCCGGGCCUUGUACACACCGCCCGUCACACCAUGAGAGUUGGGGAUACCCGAAGCCUGUGAGCUAACUAUUUAUAGGAGCAGCAGUCGAAGGUAGAAUCAAUGAUUGGGGUGAAGUCGUAACAAGGUAAC